GACGAACGCUGACGGCGUGCUUAACACAUGCAAGUCGAACGGUGAAGGGACUGGCUUUGCUGGUCCUGGAUGAGUGGCGAACGGGUGAGUAACACGUGAGUAACCUGCCCCCUUCUUCUGGAUAACCGCAUGAAAGUGUGGCUAAUACGGGAUAUUCUGGGUCUGUCGCAUGGUGGGCCUGGGAAAGGUUUUUUCCGGUGGGGGAUGGGCUCGCGGCCUAUCAGCUUGUUGGUGGGGUGAUGGCCUACCAAGGCGGUGACGGGUAGCCGGCCUGAGAGGGUGGACGGUCACACUGGGACUGAGACACGGCCCAGACUCCUACGGGAGGCAGCAGUGGGGAAUAUUGCACAAUGGGCGCAAGCCUGAUGCAGCGACGCCGCGUGAGGGAUGGAGGCCUUCGGGUUGUGAACCUCUUUCGCCAGUGAAGCAGGCCUGCUCCUUUUUUGUGGGUGGGUAGACGGAGCUGGAUAAGAAGCGCC
Molecule: ribosomal RNA, 479 nt
Filed under: Actinomyces sp. oral taxon E63
Lineage: Bacteria; Bacillati; Actinomycetota; Actinomycetes; Actinomycetales; Actinomycetaceae
Description: bacterial SSU rRNA
Rfam family: Bacterial small subunit ribosomal RNA
Source: RNAcentral